Oncorhynchus mykiss (rainbow trout) is the source of this 416-nucleotide non-coding RNA. Lineage: Eukaryota; Metazoa; Chordata; Actinopteri; Salmoniformes; Salmonidae. The record is from RefSeq and is a predicted model, not a curated record.
UAUCAACCCUAUAGGCUACCAGUCUAUCAUUCAAACUGACUCAAAAAUGGAUCCUGUCUUGUUCCUUAUUAUGUGGAUGAGGAGGUUGGGCAGCAGCCCUGUCUGGCUUUAAUCCCUUGGUCUGUUUAUUAUUAAUCACAGAGAAAGCUCUACAAUUAGGGGAUGUCUUUGUUUUGCAGCCAAAUAGUGAAGACUCUGGUUUUCCCUUUGAGAAGAUGCAGUUGGUUGGGAACUGGGGUUCGUUUCAUUUCCAUACCUGGAUAAUCCGUUAUGGACGAGUGCAGCAAAACGAAGAGGACAUGCAUCACCUGUGCAUUGUGAGGGGAGUGGAGAAACAGCUGUGGUGGAGCAGAGUCAUUCAGGAAAAAAUCCUGGACCCAUGGGGUAAUGUCCAGGUGGUCCUCACCAACAAGGAG